Abrus precatorius (Indian licorice) is the source of this 4060-nucleotide RNA transcript. It is a transcript of the gene named DNA polymerase I A, chloroplastic/mitochondrial-like, with no coding region annotated. Lineage: Eukaryota; Viridiplantae; Streptophyta; Magnoliopsida; Fabales; Fabaceae. The transcript has 12 exons. The record is from RefSeq and is a predicted model, not a curated record.
UAAAGCGGGGAGAACGGUGUUGCCUCAAUGGCAAUGGCAAUGCCAAUGGAGGUCUCUGCUCUAAGACCAUACUGCCCCUCAUGCCGCUAUCUCUCACGCCCCUUUUCUUCCACACUAUCUUCAUCGACCCUUUUAGCUCCCCAACGAAGAAAAGUACAGUCAAUCCAGAUAGCUAAUAGUGGCCUCCCAAAUAGCACUGUGCGUAGUAAUUCUGUACAAUCUAGAGCAGAUUUUUCAUGCAGUCUAAAGAGGACAUCUGGUAGGUUAAAUAGAUACAAAGGUGCAAGGUAUAAGCGUAGCUUUCCAUUUAAAAGUCCAGUUUGCAUUUCAUUUAUGAAAACCUCAAAUGCAUCAACUGGCAUGUUGGAGGAAACGGUGGAGGAAGAAGAGCUGAAUUCUUUGCAUUCAUGUGAAAAACAAAUUAGUGCAGUGGGUGUGGCUCCUUGUAAUCAUGGAUUUUCCACAACUGCUGCUGAAAGAAAAUUGUCUGGGGGUGAUUAUAGAGGCUGGACUAUAGCCACGGAGAAGAUAACUGAAAAUAAAAAGGAAAUAAAUGGUCCAGAUAAGUUUGAGAGGAAAAAUGGAAGUUCUUAUGCAUCUUAUAGAAUUGCUUCCAUUGGUCAGAACCAGGCUGUUUCUAAGAAAGUGGAUAGUAAUCUUGUACUGCUGGAUCAUGGCGAACAUGUCUCAUCCUCUGUUAACUAUUCUGUAUUAAACAAUUCGAAGGUGUUUACCGAUUCUGAAAGGGUGGCCCCCCAGUUUAAUGAAUCUCCAUUGGGGAUUAGUAAAGAGAAAAUCACUAGAGUUAAUGGUGAUCAUGGUUUGGAUGCAACUGCAAAGGAUUCAACCAAUGCAACAUUUGGCAAACAGGCAGCUGCUACCGACCAAUCAAAACUUCGGCAUAGGCUUUGUAGUAUCUAUGAAGAUAUUCUCGUUGUUGAUAAUAUUCCUCUCGCAGAGGAAGUUUCUAAGUUGCUCACAACUAAGUACCGGCAUCAUAUUUUUGCAUGUGAUACUGAGGUAGCUAAGAUAGAUGUCAAACAAGAAACUCCUGUAGAUCAUGGGGAGAUAAUAUGCUUCAGCAUUUAUUGUGGUUCAGAAGCUGAUUUUGGAGGUGGAAAGUCCUGUAUCUGGGUAGAUGUUGUUGAUGGUGGAGGCAAAGAGAUUUUAGAAAAAUUUGCUGAAUUUUUUAGUGACUCUUCCAUUGAGAAGGUCUGGCAUAAUUAUAGCUUUGAUUGUCAUGUCAUCGAGAAUUAUGGAUUCAAAGUUUCUGGAUUUCAUGCUGAUACAAUGCACAUGGCUCGGUUAUGGGAUUCAUCAAGACAUUUGGAUGGGGGUUAUUCUCUUGAAGGACUUACAGGUGACAGAAGGGUCAUGUCUAGGGCUCAGCUGAACCAUGAAAAGGAUUUGAUUGGUAAGCUGUCCAUGAAAACUAUAUUUAGCAAGAAAAAAGUGAAAAAAGAUGGAUCUGAGGGUAAAACGGUUAUCAUUGCUCCUGUUGAAGAGCUACAGAGAGAUGAGCGCAUACCUUGGAUAUGUUAUUCUGCAUUAGAUGCUAGAAGCACUUUGAAGCUGUAUGAGAGCCUUAAGAGCCAUCUUUCAGACAUGCCCUGGAAAUUUGAUGGUGUACCGGUUUCUGGGAAAAACAUGUAUGAUUUCUACAAUGAGUAUUGGCGGCCAUUUGGUGAGCUUCUAGUCAUGAUGGAAUCUGAGGGAAUGCUAGUUGAUCGGGCAUAUCUUCAGGACAUAGAAAAGGUAGCUAUGGCGGAGCAAGAGGUAGCUGCUAAUAGAUUCCGGAAAUGGGCAAGUAGGUAUUGUCCUGAUGCCAAGUAUAUGAAUGUAGGAAGUGAUUUACAGCUGCGCCAGCUUCUUUUUGGUGGCACUGUGAACAGAAAGAACUCUAAUCUGGGACUUCCAACUGAGAGAAUAUUUAAAAUUCCCAAUGUUGAUAAAGUGAUUGAAGAAGGCAAGAAGGCUCCCAAAAAAUUUUGUGAUAUAAAGUUGACGAGCCUAGGUUAUAACCUGAAGACUGAGAUGUACACUGCAACUGGUUGGCCAUCAGUUAGUGGUGAUGCUUUAAAGGCCCUGGCUGGAAAUAAUUCUGCUGAAUAUGACUUUUUUGAUGAGGCUUGUGACGUGGAUCUUGAUGAUGAAGAUGAAAAUCCUUCUAAAAGUCAUAUUACAGCAGUAAAAGUUGAUAAAUCUGCAUAUGGAACAGCCUUUGCAGCUUUUCCAACAGAGGAAGAAGGGAGAGAAGCUUGUCAUGCAAUUGCUGCUUUAUGUGAAGUCUGUUCAAUCAACUCUUUGAUUUCUAACUUCAUCCUUCCCCUUCAGGGACAUAAUAUAUCAGGAAAAGAUAACCGUGUUCAUUGUUCCUUAAAUAUCAACACUGAGACAGGACGCUUGUCAGCAAGAAGGCCAAAUCUGCAGAAUCAACCUGCUUUGGAAAAAGACCGAUACAAAAUCCGUCAAGCAUUCAUCGCUUCACCUGGGAAUUCUCUUAUAGUUGCUGAUUAUGGACAGCUUGAACUUAGGAUUCUGGCACAUCUUGCCAACUGUAAAAGCAUGUUGGAAGCUUUUGAAGCUGGUGGAGAUUUCCAUUCAAGGACUGCAAUGAAUAUGUACCCAUAUAUUCGUCAAGCAGUUGAGAAAAAGGAAGUGCUUCUUGAGUGGCAUCCCCGACCUGGUGAAGAUAAACCCCCAGUUCCUCUAUUGAAGGUAAACUGUCUGCUGAUGGAAGCAAGUAACCAUUCGUUGACACAUGCAAGUAUUGGCUUUGUCUUUAAUUUGGCAUUUAUUGUAAUGCAACUGAUAGUGUCAGAUAUAGUAAGCACCAGACCAGAGUGCAGGCUGUGCAUUAGGGAGGACUAAUAUUUGUUCUGGUUGAGAGCAGUUCCAUCAACUGAAAAUUCAAUAUAUAUAGAUACUUUAUUAAAAAUGAGAGAAAAAAUCCAGAGCUUAUUAACUUUCCAAUAGAAGUAAAGGGAAGCUACUGGACAUUAUAAUACUCUCUUUAGAGGGAAAGCAACACAUGUCGCACCUGUAGAGGAUGCCUUUGGCUCUGAAAGAAGAAAAGCUAAAAUGCUUAACUUCUCAAUUGCAUAUGGGAAGACUCCUGUGGGGCUUUCUAAGGAUUGGAAGGUUUCUGUGAAAGAAGCUAAGAAAACAGUUGACCUUUGGUACAAUGAUAGAAAAGAAGUUUUACAAUGGCAAGAGGAGCGUAAAAAGGAAGCUCAUGCUUUACAUUGUGUUUACACAUUGCUAGGGCGAGCCCGGCGGUUCCCUUUGAUGGCUCAAGCUAACACCUAUCAGAAAGGUCACAUUGAGCGCGCAGCUAUUAAUACUCCAGUGCAGGGUAGUGCUGCCGAUGUUGCCAUGUGUGCCAUGUUGCAAAUUUCCAAUAAUAAACAGUUGAAGGAGCUUGGCUGGAAAUUGCUUCUACAGGUUCAUGAUGAAGUCAUAUUGGAAGGACCAACCGAGUCGGCUGAGUUUGCAAAGUCCAUAGUUGUUGAGUGCAUGUCCAAACCCUUCAAUGGCAAGAAUAUUCUUAAAGUUGACCUCUCUGUUGAUGCCAAGUGUGCUCAAAACUGGUACUCUGCGAAAUAGGUACUCCAUUAUGCAGCAUGAAAAACCUUGACUUACACUAUUUGGAGAUGUUUCCUCAUUCAGGUAGCUUUGGCUGCAUGGUUCCAUUGGUGAUUGCAAUCCAAAGAUGUUUCUACUUUGGUGCUUCUAUUUUCAAGGCAAACUAAUGCCUUAAAAUUUUGUUAUGUGCCUGAUUUCUAUAGAGGUUUUUCUCGUCCUAAGAGUAGUUCCAGUGUGAUGCUUUGGUAAACCAAAGCAUAGCACGUUUAACUUUGAAGGAAGAAACAUAGGUCAAAGCGACUGGCCUCGGCUUUUGACUGCUUUACUUGGCAGGUUUUGCUUUAUUUUUUAUUAUUAUUUUAAAUGUAUAUCUAGUUUUCAUGCCUUGCAUCAUGCACCGAUAUGGUCUAAUUUGGUUGAUGCAAACCCUAUCAAUAUUGUAUAUAAAUUAUUAUAAUAUGAAAUUAUCCACAUU